Molecule: ribosomal RNA, 426 nt
Filed under: uncultured prokaryote
Description: bacterial SSU rRNA
Rfam family: Bacterial small subunit ribosomal RNA
Source: RNAcentral
UGGGGAAUUUUCCGCAAUGGGCGCAAGCCUGACGGAGCAAUACCGCGUGAGGGAGGAAGGCUUUUGGGUUGUAAACCUCUUUUCUCAAGGAAGAAGCACUGACGGUACUUGAGGAAUCAGCAUCGGCUAACUCCGUGCCAGCAGCCGCGGUAAUACAGAGGGUGCAAACGUUGUUCGGAAUUACUGGGCGUAAAGCGCGUGUAGGCGGUCCGUUAAGUCGACUGUGAAAGCCCAUGGCUCAACCAUGGAAGUGCAGUCGAUACUGGCAGACUGGAGUCCCGGAGAGGGUGGUGGAAUUCCUAGUGUAGAGGUGAAAUUCGUAGAUAUUAGGAGGAACACCGGUGGCGAAGGCGACCACCUGGACGGGUACUGGCGCUGAGACGCGAAAGCGUGGGAAGCAAACAGGAUUAGAUACCCCCGUAGUCC